ACGUAGGGUGCGAGCGUUGUCCGGAAUUACUGGGCGUAAAGGGUGCGUAGGUGGCUCGGCAAGUCAGAUGUGAAAUCCCCGGGCUCAACUCGGGAGCUGCAUUUGAAACUGCUGAGCUUGAGUGCAGGAGAGGAAAGCGGAAUUCCUAGUGUAGCGGUGAAAUGCGUAGAUAUUAGGAGGAACACCAGUGGCGAAGGCGGCUUUCUGGACUGUUACUGACACUGAGGCACGAAAGCGUGGGGAGCAAACAG
Molecule: ribosomal RNA, 251 nt
Filed under: uncultured prokaryote
Description: partial 16S rRNA
Rfam family: Bacterial small subunit ribosomal RNA
Source: RNAcentral